GAACGCUAGCGACAGGCCUAACACAUGCAAGUCGAGGGGCAGCACAAGGAGCAAUCUGAGGUGGCGACCGGCGCACGGGUGAGUAACACGUAUGCAACCUGCCUGUAAGCGGGGAAUAACCCGUUGAAAGACGGACUAAUACCGCAUAAUACUAAAUUACUGCAUGGUAAUUUAUUUAAACAUUUAUGGCUUACAGAUGGGCAUGCGCAUGAUUAGCUAGUUGGAGAGGUAACGGCUCCCCAAGGCAACGAUCAUUAGGGGUUCUGAGAGGAAGGUCCCCCACACUGGUACUGAGACACGGACCAGACUCCUACGGGAGGCAGCAGUGAGGAAUAUUGGUCAAUGGACGAGAGUCUGAACCAGCCAAGUCGCGUGCAGGAAGAAUGUCCUAAUGGAUUGUAAACUGCUUUUGCAGGGGAAUAAAGUGCAUCACGUGUGAUGUUUUGUAUGUACUCUGCGAAUAAGGAUCGGCUAACUCCGUGCCAGCAGCCGC
RNAcentral lists this ribosomal RNA (493 nucleotides) under uncultured bacterium. RNAcentral's name for it is "bacterial SSU rRNA". It matches the Rfam family "Bacterial small subunit ribosomal RNA", at positions 31 to 518 of the family's 1533-position model. The record is from RNAcentral.